This 253-nucleotide ribosomal RNA is filed under the name uncultured bacterium. RNAcentral's name for it is "partial 16S ribosomal RNA". It matches the Rfam family "Bacterial small subunit ribosomal RNA", at positions 524 to 776 of the family's 1533-position model. The record is from RNAcentral.
UACGUAGGAGGCAAGCGUUGUCCGGAAUUACUGGGCGUAAAGCGCGUGUAGGUGGUGGGACAAGUCUGCUGUGAAAGCGCCUGGCUUAACCGGGCGAGGUCGGCGGAAACUGUCCGACUCGAGGACGGUAGAGGGGGGUGGAAUUCCCGGUGUAGCGGUGAAAUGCGUAGAGAUCGGGAGGAACACCAGAGGCGAAGGCGGCGACCUGGACAGUAACUGACACUCAACUACGAAAGCGUGGGUAGCAAACAGG